This 69-nucleotide transfer RNA is filed under the name Cordylochernes scorpioides. Its description in RNAcentral is "tRNA-Gly". It matches the Rfam family "tRNA". Rfam says of the family: Transfer RNA (tRNA) molecules are approximately 80 nucleotides in length. Their secondary structure includes four short double-helical elements and three loops (D, anti-codon, and T loops). Further hydrogen bonds mediate the characteristic L-shaped molecular structure. tRNAs have two regions of fundamental functional importance: the anti-codon, which is responsible for specific mRNA codon recognition, and the 3' end, to which the tRNAs corresponding amino acid is attached (by aminoacyl-tRNA synthetases). tRNAs cope with the degeneracy of the genetic code in two manners: having more than one tRNA (with a specific anti-codon) for a particular amino acid; and 'wobble' base-pairing, i.e. permitting non-standard base-pairing at the 3rd anti-codon position. The record is from RNAcentral. Lineage: Eukaryota; Metazoa; Arthropoda; Arachnida; Pseudoscorpiones; Chernetidae.
GCUUUUCGUUCAGUGGUAGAAUGCUCGCCUGCCACGCGGGGGCCCCGGGUUCGAUUCCCGGCAGAUGCA